RNAcentral lists this ribosomal RNA (465 nucleotides) under uncultured bacterium. RNAcentral describes it as "partial 16S ribosomal RNA". It matches the Rfam family "Bacterial small subunit ribosomal RNA", at positions 28 to 507 of the family's 1533-position model. The record is from RNAcentral.
GACGAACGCUGGCGGCGUGCUUAACACAUGCAAGUCGAACGGAAAGGCCCCUUUGGGGGUACUCUUGUGGAGAACGGGUGAGUAACACGUGAGUAACCUGCCCUUGACUUCGUGAUAACGUCAGGAAACUGGGGCUAAUACCGGAUAGGAAUCCUUGCUGCAUGGUGGGGGUUGGAAAGCUUCGGCGGUUUUGGAUGGACUCGCGGCUUAUCAGCUUGUGGGUGGGGGAGUGGCUUACCAAGGCUUUGACGGGUAGCCGGCCUGAGAGGGCGACCGGCCACAUUGGGACUGAGAGACGGCCCAGACUCCUACGGGAGGCAGAAGUGGGGAAGAUUGCACAAUGGGCGGAAGCCUGAUGCAGCAACGCCGCGUGCGGGAUGACGGCCUUCGGGUUGUAAAACGCGUUCAGCAGGGGCGAAGCUUGUGGUGACGGUACCUGCAGAAGAAGCACCGGCUAACUACGUG